UACAGAGGGUGCGAGCGUUAAUCGGAAUUACUGGGCGUAAAGCGCGCGCAGGCGGUUUUGUAAGCCAGAUGUGAAAUCCCCGGGCUUAACCUGGGAAUGGCAUUUGGGACUGCAAGGCUUGAGUGCGGCAGAGGAGACUGGAAUUCCUGGUGUAGCAGUGAAAUGCGUAGAUAUCAGGAGGAACACCGAUGGCGAAGGCAGGUCUCUGGGCUGACACUGACGCUCAUGCACGAAAGCGUGGGGAGCAAACAGG
This 253-nucleotide ribosomal RNA is filed under the name uncultured bacterium. RNAcentral's name for it is "partial 16S ribosomal RNA". It matches the Rfam family "Bacterial small subunit ribosomal RNA", at positions 524 to 776 of the family's 1533-position model. The record is from RNAcentral.